This 1367-nucleotide ribosomal RNA is filed under the name 'Vitis vinifera' decline phytoplasma GL24. Its description in RNAcentral is "bacterial SSU rRNA". It matches the Rfam family "Bacterial small subunit ribosomal RNA", at positions 32 to 1402 of the family's 1533-position model. Lineage: Bacteria; Bacillati; Mycoplasmatota; Mollicutes; Acholeplasmatales; Acholeplasmataceae. The record is from RNAcentral.
AACGCUGGCGGCGUGCCUAAUACAUGCAAGUCGAACGGAAACCUUCGGGUUUUAGUGGCGAACGGGUGAGUAACACGUAAGCAACCUGCCUUUAAGACGAGGAUAACAAUUGGAAACGGUUGCUAAGACUGGAUAGGAAAUUAAAAGGCAUCUUUUAAUUUUUAAAAGACCUUUUUCGGAAGGUAUGCUUAAAGAGGGGCUUGCGCCACAUUAGUUAGUUGGUAAGGUAAAGGCUUACCAAGACGAUGAUGUGUAGCUGGACUGAGAGGUUGAACAGCCACAUUGGGACUGAGACACGGCCCAAACUCCUACGGGAGGCAGCAGUAAGGAAUUUUUGGCAAUGGAGGAAACUCUGACCGAGCAACGCCGCGUGAACAAUGAAGUACUUCGGUAUGUAAAGUUCUUUUAUUGAAAAAGAAAAAAUAGUGGAAAAACUAUCUUGACGCUAUUCGAUGAAUAAGCCCCGGCUAAUUAUGUGCCAGCAGCCGCGGUAAUACAUAAGGGGCGAGCGUUAUCCGGAAUUAUUGGGCGUAAAGGGUGCGUAGGCGGUUUGAUAAGUCUGUAGUUUAAAUUCAGUGCUUAACGCUGUACCGCUAUAGAAACUGUCUGACUAGAGUUAGAUAGAGGCAAGCGGAAUUCCAUGUGUAGCGGUAAAAUGCGUAAAUAUAUGGAGGAACACCAGAGGCGUAGGCGGCUUGCUGGGUCUUAACUGACGCUGAGGCACGAAAGCGUGGGGAGCAAACAGGAUUAGAUACCCUGGUAGUCCACGCCGUAAACGAUGAGUACUAAGUGUCGGGUUUUGGCCCUUGGUACUGAAGUUAACACAUUAAGUACUCCGCCUGAGUAGUACGUACGCAAGUAUGAAACUUAAAGGAAUUGACGGGACCCCGCACAAGCGGUGGAUCAUGUUGUUUAAUUCGAAGAUACACGAAAAACCUUACCAGGCCUUGACAUAAUUUUGCGACAUUAUAGAAAUAUAAUGAAGGUUAUCAGAAUUACAGGUGGUGCAUGGUUGUCGUCAGCUCGUGUCGUGAGAUGUUAGGUUAAGUCCUAAAACGAGCGCAACCCUUGUCGUUAGUUGCGACCACGUAAUGGUGAGCACUUUAGCGAGACUGCCAAUGAAAAAUUGGAGGAAGGUGAGGAUUACGUCAAAUCAUCAUGCCCCUUAUGAUCUGGGCUACAAACGUGAUACAAUGGCUUUUACAAAGAGUAGCUACAACGUGAGUUUUUAGCCAAUCUCAAAAAAACAGUCUCAGUUCGGAUUGAAGUCUGCAACUCGACUUCAUGAAGUUGGAAUCGCUAGUAAUCGCGAAUCAGCAUGUCGCGGUGAAUACGUUCUCGGGGUUUGUACACACCGCCCGUCAAAC